GUCCCGUUCGUCUAGAGGCCUAGGACACCGCCCUUUCACGGCGGCAACACGGGUUCAAAUCCCGUACGGGACGCCA
RNAcentral lists this transfer RNA (76 nucleotides) under Alphaproteobacteria bacterium. RNAcentral's name for it is "tRNA-Glu". It matches the Rfam family "tRNA". From Rfam's summary of the family: Transfer RNA (tRNA) molecules are approximately 80 nucleotides in length. Their secondary structure includes four short double-helical elements and three loops (D, anti-codon, and T loops). RNAcentral also lists the same sequence under 2 other names. The record is from RNAcentral. Lineage: Bacteria; Pseudomonadati; Pseudomonadota; Alphaproteobacteria.